AUUCAAUCGACGAGUCUCAAAUAGAACGAAACGCUAGUCUUAGAU
This 45-nucleotide non-coding RNA is filed under the name Schistosoma haematobium. The record is from RNAcentral. Lineage: Eukaryota; Metazoa; Platyhelminthes; Trematoda; Strigeidida; Schistosomatidae.